RNAcentral lists this ribosomal RNA (488 nucleotides) under uncultured bacterium. RNAcentral describes it as "partial 16S ribosomal RNA". It matches the Rfam family "Bacterial small subunit ribosomal RNA", at positions 899 to 1397 of the family's 1533-position model. The record is from RNAcentral.
ACUCAAAUGAAUUGACGGGGAGGCGCACAAGCAGUGGAGCGUGUGGUUUAAUUCGAUACAAAGCGAAAAACCUCACCAGGGUUUGACAUGCUAAUGUAACUUUGGGGAAACCCGAAGCCUCUGUUAAAAGACAUUAGCACAGAUGCUGCAUGGCUGUCAUCAGUUCGUGGCGUGAGCUGUACCAUUAAGUUGGGAAACGAACGAAACCCGCACCGUAUGUUAAAUAAUCCAUGCGGAACUGCUCGCCUUAGGCGAGAGGAAGAAGCGGAUUAUGUCAAGUCAGCACGGCUCUUACACCCUGGGCUACACACACCCUACAAUGGGCAGUCACAACGAGUUGCAAACUGGUAACAGUAAGCUAAUCUCUGAAAACUGUCCUCAGUUCAGAUCGAGGGCUGCAAUUCGCCCUCGUGAAGUCGGAAUUGCUAGUAAUCGCGGAUCAGCAGGCCGCGGUGAAUACGUUCUCGCCUCUUGUACACACCGCCCGU